Long non-coding RNA from Dendroctonus ponderosae (mountain pine beetle), 932 nucleotides. RefSeq lists it as uncharacterized. Lineage: Eukaryota; Metazoa; Arthropoda; Insecta; Coleoptera; Curculionidae. The record is from RefSeq and is a predicted model, not a curated record. The transcript has 3 exons.
CCUAGAAAGAUUCAACGAACUUUAGAGACAAUAGAGAGUUAUUGRUCGRCCAAUACGUUCAUGCAGUAUUAUAGUUUGCGCUAUUUUGACACAAACGCCUGCGCAAAUCAGUCUAAAAAAUAAAUACUGUUCUGUGGUAUUUGUGCCCCAACACUGCACGUUUUAUUUUCUACCUUAAACUGGCAGUUGACAUUUCUGACGUCCGCUUGCAGGUUAUUUCAUUAUAAACAUAACCCAGUUUCACCCAUUUCCAAUUGACACUUGUUUACAUAUGUAAACAUUACGUUUAACUACGUAUUAAAUCUUGUAUUACUCAUACAAUUGGUUCAAAAUGCCACAUUUUUGCAGUGCCGUUAAAUGAUCAAUGCGUGCUGAACGAGAUACGGUUUCUUUUUUCCGAUUUUAGCGAGACAUAGAAAGAGAGAUCAUCUGAAUGCUUUCUCUAGUGAACGUCGAAAUGCUUGUGUUAAGGCUUUAAAACGGGUGCCUCUAAGUGAAAUCUAUAUGAGAAAUGUUCGUAUUUGCCUAGGACAUUUCAUAACUGGAAAACCAGCUGCCUUGGAAGACAAAACUAAUCCAGAUGUGUUGCCCAACGAAAAUUUAGGAAACAUUUGUAGUCUCUAACCGGGUCAAUCUGCCUGCCUACUCCCUAUUUAAAAGCUGCUGCUUUUAGGUCCGAGCUGAAGUUGUUUCUGCAUGGUGCACAAGAAUUUGAUAGUGUUUCACAAUUUAUUGAAGAAAUUUGAGCAAAGUAGAUUUAUGGAAGCUGUGUUAGUGAGUCAGUUCAAACUGAUGUACCUAACUGAAGAAUAUUCAAGUCGUGUUUUUCAGAAUUGAGAUUUUUGCAAUUCAAUAAUGUACACCUUGCAAGCAAAAGUUCAAGUGAUGGAUGUAAAUGAGAAUUAUGUUAAAAAUAAAUGCUUUAUCCCUAA